This 248-nucleotide long non-coding RNA is filed under the name Hordeum vulgare. RNAcentral describes it as "long non-coding RNA (HVUL_LNC007445)". Lineage: Eukaryota; Viridiplantae; Streptophyta; Magnoliopsida; Poales; Poaceae. The record is from RNAcentral.
AUAGUUUCUUUCCUGGCCAUUUGCGAAUGCGGCUUUCACAAAUUCCUUUGUUUUUAGAAACCAUUGUUUCGUCAUCUCUUUGUGACUAGGGUGACCGGUAUACAACCACGCACGAUCACUCAUCUUGCGUAGCUACUAAAGACAGAAGAAAUAUAUUUAUAUAUAAUUUAGCAUUUAUAUUCAUCGGUGAAUCAGGUUCGCCAUUUUUAUUACGUCCAGGCAACCUACACGCUAAUAGGUAAAGAUAG